AGCCACAGACAUAUCACCCUGCAGCCCAAGACUGGUUGCCCAUUGAAGCUAAGCAGGGUUGAGCCUGGUGAGUACCUGGAUGGGAGACCUCCUGGGAAAACUAGGUUGCUGUUGGAA
This 117-nucleotide ribosomal RNA is filed under the name Sinocyclocheilus rhinocerous. The record is from RNAcentral. Lineage: Eukaryota; Metazoa; Chordata; Actinopteri; Cypriniformes; Cyprinidae.